Molecule: long non-coding RNA, 429 nt
Organism: Camelus dromedarius (Arabian camel)
Lineage: Eukaryota; Metazoa; Chordata; Mammalia; Artiodactyla; Camelidae
Exons: 3
Source: RefSeq, a predicted model, not a curated record
GAAUGCUGUAACUGUACCAGGAAUCGUAUAGACCAAGUCUUCAACCAUUGCUGAAGCUGCUGUCUCAUUUUACUGGGACUCUCUCCAGAACUCUAAGCCUCCGUCACUGAAGAGCUGGCAGGGCCUAACCUUCUCCCACCCACGUGAGAGAGUCUCAGGAACUGUUAUAAGAUGAAUGGUGUACCCACCUAAGAAGAGGCAGAAACACUCUAUUGUGGGGAAGGCAGAGGAGAAAUCCAGCCCGGGGAUCAAGGCUUCCAGAUGUGGGAGCGGCAGCUUUCAGAAGCCUCCACAGCUAGCGUCUUAUGCUGGACACACGCGGGACCAUGGAUUGCACCUCAUGAAGCCCCAGCCACCACAGUAGCCCAGCACUGUGUUGAAUGCUGGGUCAAGCCUGCAGGCUCCUCGGCCCAUCACAGUGGGGGAAGU